This is a long non-coding RNA of Drosophila innubila, 235 nucleotides long. RefSeq lists it as uncharacterized. The transcript is spliced from 2 exons. The record is from RefSeq and is a predicted model, not a curated record. Lineage: Eukaryota; Metazoa; Arthropoda; Insecta; Diptera; Drosophilidae.
UGUCAUAAAUUACGUGUAUCACGUGUAGUUUUUCAACGGACUCUGAUUUUGGAUUUCUCGAUUCUCAAAGUAACGCUCCGUUGAUUCGCAGCGGCUCAAAGUCUCUGAAACUAAUUAGUUGAAUACUCGUACUAUCUGUCAAACCUAGCGAAAUCACAGUGUGAUAAAUGUUGCCAAGCGGCGCUUAAAUGAGCGUGAAAAGUCAACGAGGAUAACAAGGACACAACAACCACAA